UCCUACGGGAGGCAGCAGUGAGGAAUAUUGGUCAAUGGGAGAGAUCCUGAACCAGCCAAGCCGCGUGAGGGAAGACGGCCCUAUGGGUUGUAAGCCUCUUUUGUCGGAGAACAAAACCCGGGACGUGUCCCGGACUGCGUGUAUCCGAAGAAAAAGCAUCGGCUAACUCCGUGCCAGCAGCCGCGGUAAUACGGAGGAUGCGAGCGUUAUCCGGAUUUAUUGGGUUUAAAGGGUGCGUAGGCGGAAUAUCAAGUCAGCGGUAAAAAUUCGGGGCUCAACCCCGUCGUGCCGUUGAAACUGAUGUU
This 305-nucleotide ribosomal RNA is filed under the name uncultured bacterium. RNAcentral's name for it is "bacterial SSU rRNA". It matches the Rfam family "Bacterial small subunit ribosomal RNA", at positions 337 to 640 of the family's 1533-position model. The record is from RNAcentral.